Molecule: ribosomal RNA, 497 nt
Filed under: uncultured bacterium
Lineage: Bacteria
Description: partial 16S ribosomal RNA
Rfam family: Bacterial small subunit ribosomal RNA
Source: RNAcentral
GAUGAACGCUGGCGGCGUGCCUAAUACAUGCAAGUCGAGCGAACGGACGAGAAGCUUGCUUCUCUGAUGUUAGCGGCGGACGGGUGAGUAACACGUGGAUAACCUACCUAUAAGACUGGGAUAACUUCGGGAAACCGGAGCUAAUACCGGAUAAUAUUUUGAACCGCAUGGUUCAAAAGUGAAAGACGGUCUUGCUGUCACUUAUAGAUGGAUCCGCGCUGCAUUAGCUAGUUGGUAAGGUAACGGCUUACCAAGGCAACGAUGCAUAGCCGACCUGAGAGGGUGAUCGGCCACACUGGAACUGAGACGCGGACAAGACACCUACGGGAGGCAGCAGAAGGGAAUCUUCCGCAAUGGGCGAAAGCCUGACGGAGCAACGCCGCGUGAGUGAUGAAGGUCUUCGGAUCGUAAAACUCUGUUAUUAGGGAAGAACAGAUGUGUAAGUAACUGUGCACAUCUUGACGGUACCUAAUCAGAAAGCCACGGCUAACUACGUG